RNAcentral lists this transfer RNA (73 nucleotides) under Trichonephila inaurata madagascariensis. It matches the Rfam family "tRNA". From Rfam's summary of the family: Transfer RNA (tRNA) molecules are approximately 80 nucleotides in length. Their secondary structure includes four short double-helical elements and three loops (D, anti-codon, and T loops). The record is from Rfam by way of RNAcentral. Lineage: Eukaryota; Metazoa; Arthropoda; Arachnida; Araneae; Nephilidae.
GUUCCUGUAGCGCAAUGAAUAGCGCGUUGAACUUCCAAUUCAAAGGUCUUGGGUUCGAAUCCCACCUGGAAUG